ACCUGAGAGAGGUGAUCCGCCACACGUGACUGAGAACCGUCCAACUCUACGAGCAGCAUGGGGUAUUGCGCAUUGAGGAAUCUUGACGCAGCAACGCCGCGUGGAGGAGGAGUCUCGGAUGUAACUCCUGUCUUCUGGACGAUAUGACGUACCAGAGGAGGAAGCACGGCUAACUACGUGCCAGCAGCCGCGGUAAUACGUAGGUGGCGAGCGUGUCCGGAAUUACUGGGCGUAAAGGGCGCGUAGGCGGCUCUUAAGUCAGAUGUGAAAACCCAGGGCUUAACCUUGGGAGUGCAUUUGAAACUGAAGGGCUCGAGUGCAGGAGAGGUAAGUGGAAUUCCUAGUGUAGCGGUGAAAUGCGUAGAUAUUAGGAGGAACACCAGUGGCGAAGGCGACUUACUGGACUGUAACUGACGCUGAGGCGCGAAAGCGUGGGGAGCAAACAGGAUUAGAUACCCUGGUAGUCCACGCUGUAAACGAUGGAUACUAGGUGUGGGAGGUAUCGACCCCUUCCGUGCCGCAGUAAACGCAAUAAGUAUCCCGCCUGGGGAGUACGGCCGCAAGGUUGAAACUCAAAGGAAUUGACGGGGGCCCGCACAAGCAGCGGAGCAUGUGGUUUAAUUCGAAGCAACGCGAAGAACCUUACCAGAACUUGACAUCGUCUGCAUUACCCGUAACGGGGGAAAUCCUUCGGGACAGAUAGACAGGUGGUGCAUGGUUGUCGUCAGCUCGUGUCAUGAGAUGUUGGGUUAAGUCCCGCAACGAGCGCAACCCUUAUCAUUAGUUGCUACGCAAGGGCACUCUAAUGAGACUGCCGGUGACAAACCGGAGGAAGGUGGGGAUGACGUCAAGUCCUCAUGGCCCUUAUGGGUAGGGCUUCACACGUCAUACAAUGGUCGGUACAGAGGGUUGCCAAGCCGCGAGGUGGAGCCAAUCCCAGAAAGCCGAUCGUAGUCCGGAUUGUUCUCUGCAACUCGAGAGCAUGAAGUCGGAAUCGCUAGUAAUCGCGGAUCAGCAUGUCGCGGUGAAUACGUUCCCGGGUCUUGUACACACCGCCCGUCACACCAUGGGAGUGGAAUCUGGCAGAAGUAGGUAGCCUAACCGCAAGGAGGGCGCUUACCACGCUGGGUUUCAUGACUGGGGUGAAGUCGUAACAAGGUAGCCGUAAGUCGUAACAAGGUAGCCGUAAGUCGUAACAAGGUAGCCGU
This 1208-nucleotide ribosomal RNA is filed under the name iron-reducing bacterium enrichment culture clone FEA_2_B4. RNAcentral describes it as "bacterial SSU rRNA". It matches the Rfam family "Bacterial small subunit ribosomal RNA", at positions 290 to 1533 of the family's 1533-position model. The record is from RNAcentral.